This 752-nucleotide ribosomal RNA is filed under the name uncultured Ruminococcus sp. RNAcentral describes it as "bacterial SSU rRNA". It matches the Rfam family "Bacterial small subunit ribosomal RNA", at positions 28 to 777 of the family's 1533-position model. Lineage: Bacteria; Bacillati; Bacillota; Clostridia; Eubacteriales; Oscillospiraceae. The record is from RNAcentral.
GAUGAACGCUGGCGGCGUGCCUAACACAUGCAAGUCGAGCGAAGCACUUUGCUUAGAUUCUUCGGAUGAAGAGGAUUGUGACUGAGCGGCGGACGGGUGAGUAACGCGUGGGUAACCUGCCUCAUACAGGGGGAUAACAGUUAGACAUGACUGCUAAUACCGCAUAAGACCACAGCACCGCAUGGUGCGGGGGUAAAAACUCCGGUGGUAUGAGAUGGACCCGCGUCUGAUUAGCUAGUUGGUAAGGUAACGGCUUACCAAGGCGACGAUCAGUAGCCGACCUGAGAGGGUGACCGGCCACAUUGGGACUGAGACACGGCCCAAACUCCUACGGGAGGCAGCAGUGGGGAAUAUUGCACAAUGGGGGAAACCCUGAUGCAGCGACGCCGCGUGAGCGAAGAAGUAUUUCGGUAUGUAAAGCUCUAUCAGCAGGGAAGAAAAUGACGGUACCUGACUAAGAAGCACCGGCUAAAUACGUGCCAGCAGCCGCGGUAAUACGUAUGGUGCAAGCGUUAUCCGGAUUUACUGGGUGUAAAGGGAGCGUAGACGGAUGGGCAAGUCUGAUGUGAAAACCCGGGGCUCAACCCCGGGGACUGCAUUGGAAACUGCUCAUCUAGAGUGCUGGAGAGGUAAGUGGAAUUCCUAGUGUAGCGGGUGAAAUGCGUAGAUAUUAGGAGGAACACCAGUGGCGAAGGCGGCUUACAGGACAGUAACUGACGUUGAGGCUCGAAAGCGUGGGGGAGCAAACAGGG